GCAAGGAGCAAGAGAAAUUCAAAAAAUAGAUCUAACUUGACAAUCCUCCAUCACAGUGGCAGCAAACCAUUUAGAAAAGUAAUUUAUGACAAUGGCGGAAAGGAUAACAACCCUCCAAGUUUGGAUGCCUUAUUUUUCAUGACUCACACAAAGGGUGGUAGUUUUCUAGAUUCUGAAUCCUCCAGCAAGCAUGCACAACUUGAGGAACAAAUAUCAUUAGAUCCUUCUCUUUCUAAUGCAGAACUUAUGGAUAAGUGCUUCCCUUCAAAGAGACAGGAUCACAUUGUUGGAUAUGGUGGUGGCGUGAAAGCAAGACAUCUUAGAAGUCCAUGCAUUAGUAAGGCUGAAUUGAUAGAAAAGUUGAAACAGUCCGAGGAUGAGAAAAGAGCAAUGCAAGAAGAAAAUAGAGAGCUACGAGAAGAAAAUAAAGCUACAAACAGUCGUAUGAGCCGUAUGGAACAGGAGUGGGAAGAACUAAAGAACAGAUUAAGUAGUAGUUAGACAAAAAGUUCUAGUAUACGAUCAUCUAGCAGAUUUAAACGAUGGUAUUCAUCAUAAAUCUUCAGAUGGUUUAGUAGAUGUAAAUUAGAGUACAUGUUUAAGAGUGAAUGAUAUAUGAAUCUAUUUUGACAAC
This is a long non-coding RNA of Zea mays, 634 nucleotides long. RefSeq lists it as uncharacterized. The transcript is spliced from 3 exons. Lineage: Eukaryota; Viridiplantae; Streptophyta; Magnoliopsida; Poales; Poaceae. The record is from RefSeq and is a predicted model, not a curated record.